GUGAACACAUCCUGUGCCAGGAGAGUGGCACAUCCCAACCCAUAGGACAGAAGCACCUCCUCUUGGGUCUCCCUUAUACCUAUCCUAUGUAUCUCUUCAUCUGGCUCUCAAUCAAGCUCCUCCAGAGCUGAGAUUUGGGUCAUCUCCUCUUCACUUCUAGAGCCCAGCUGGGGCCUCGCCUGUGGAAGGCAUUUGGAGGGAUCAACUGGGUAAUCAAAGGGACAGAAAAAACAAAGACCCUGGCUCAUCUGGGAAUCGAACUCCUUUCCUAACCUAUGGAGAAUCUAUCACUGCAACCUACAGAGAGACCCACACAGUCAGGGGCAGAGGCUUCCUGCCUGCAGACAAAUGAGCCAUUGUCCUGGGAAUGGCUCCAUUGGCCCCAUUAAGUCUUCAGAUGACCGCAGCCCCAGUCAAAACCCUGGCCGCCGUCUCCUGAGACAGCGAAGCCAUGGCCACCGGGCCGAGCUCUUCCCAGACUCCUGAGUCCCAGAAAUCGGUAGGAAAAAAAGGAAGUAAGCAGGGACUCCUCUGGAAAAAAAAGGCUCCUUCAUUCCAGAGAGGAGGGGAGACUUGUCUGCAACCAGAAGAUCAUGGCCCGGACUGGAAGUCUGUGUCUCAAAAUGCAGCUCUCUUGUGAAGACACAGAAACAGCAGGCAGUCUGCAGCUGGAAAGGAUCCUCACCAGAAGCAAUCAUGCUGGCACCCUGAUCAUGGACUUGCUGCCUUACAGCAGGACCCCAGGAGGAAGCCUGCAGCAGCCAUAUUUGUAGAAUGGGAUCCUGUCCCCCUGGCCAAAGCUGACUGGAGCUGAGGUGGUGGUGCGCCCAUCAGGUUCUCGCCUCUUCUGGGGAAUUUGGAAGGGGGGCAACAGCUGCCUGCACCAGGCUCUUCAUGUGAUUGGGCUGGUAACGUCACCUCUAGAAUUGUGGGACAGUUGUUUUUCUAUCUUUCAAGAAGCGAAGAAAAAGCUGGUGUUUGGGAAAGUAAAAAUGAAAUAAAUACAAAGAAAGAAGCAGACAUGAGUUUUGGCUUCAGAAGACACAUCGAACGUCCCCCUUAUCGCGCAUGCGCACACCCAAGCCAGCUCGAGGUAGUCUCUAUAACAAGCAACAAGAAUCUAACCAACACAUGAGAACACAGUGUCCCUUUUCAGACACGACUGAGGAUCUUGCGGAAUGUUAGGGUCUCCGUUAAGAACGUUUAGUUCUUAUUAUUCAGAAGGCUGUGGAGAGACCAAAACCAGUCACCCCUGUCAUAAGUUCCCUCCAGAGCCCGCUCUAAAAGUUGCCUUUGCUCACUUUCAGUCUUCACCAUUGGUUCAGCUUCUAACGCUUCAACUCUUUCUCCUAAGCAGCACUCAAGGAAGAACCCGCAGUGAGCACAGAUCACUGUGUGCUGUGUGUGUGCGUUGUUGUGUCUGGGAGAGUAGGUGGUGGGACCCACAUACAUUGAGUUCCAACUGCUUGCCUUUCCUGGAUGGUUUACUUUCACCUCUACCACGUACUGGUGGUACUCAUGAUAAAACCAUUCUAUGGUUGAAAAAGCUGCGUCUCAGAGAAGCAUGUGAAUUUUGUUAAGGUCACAUGGUUAGAAAGCCAUAGAAGAUUUCACACUCAGGUUCAGUUCUCCCAGGUCCGUGGACAACCAAAGUUGGUGCUAUUUUCAAUAUUUCAUGUUAUUACACACACACACACACACACACACACACACACACACACAGUUCCUUGAUUGGAUGUCCUGUUAGGUAGGUUCUGGUUCACUGGCAUCUGACUCUGACUCUUAGAUUUGCACAAUAUAGGAGAUUCUUGACCUUGGGGGAAAGAGACAGGGACAGAAAGAUCUCUCAGCACCAGAAAUACUAGGGAUAUUUCUGCAUAUUCUAAAUAAAACAUUGCUAUAUCCAGUAAGAACUGGGAUAGCAAUUUUUAGCACCUUAUUUAUAAAGGUGGGAAAAACAAAAGCCAAAGAAAGUAAAUGAGGAACACAAGAUCUUCAGACAGACCCAGGAGCCCACUGCAGCCUUCUGACUCUGCCUGUCUCAGCAGGAGAACAUUCUGGAGUGGUUGGUCUUUCUUGACUAAUUAAAGGUGAUUGGAGUUUUAGUGUUGGCGUGGCUUUUGCCUCCCGCUGUUCCCCAUCUUUCUCAUCCUUGGACGCCAUACUGUCUGCAGGUUGUCAGUUACCAAGAAGUCCGGGAAGAGGUGGUGCUAGCUGAAAUCGGUUCGGACAGAAUGAGAUUAGGGAGAUUCAGGCAAAACCCUGGACCUCAAUGUGGUUUGACCUUAGCAAAAAAAAAAAUCAUGCAAGUGCUUAAAUCAGACUCUGCAAGCGCCUCAAAACUGACAUGGCUGCACAGCAUAAAGCUCCCGUCUGGAAUAAGCAAAUCAGAACCAAACUUAUGUCUUCUGAUGCUCUCAAUUCUUCUCAACCUAUUCAAUGUUUUUGUUUUAUUUAGGUUUUUAAAAAAAAAAAACCCUCACAGUUGAUUUAUCACAAUGGAAUGUUGUAUGCUUAUUUUAAUGCAUUCCAACAUUACCAAGGUAAAAUGCAGAAAGGGAACAUUUGGAGUUGAGUUUGAAAUACCAUCAGUAGCCCUUCCUGUAAACCCUGCCAAUGUCAAGAACAUGUUAAAGAAUGUAAGCUACAGGAAAACUCCAAUUAGUCAAAAUGUCCAGGGAAUGGGAGAUUCCAGGUUAUUUCUGAGAAAAUCUUUUUCACAUCAACUCUUGACGUUGGAAAUCUUACCAAAAAGUAUGAGUUGGGUUUCCUGUCUUAAGAAGCACAGUUUAUUCCAGAAGUAAUUUAAUGUUUGUCUGACAGUUGAGGGUCAGGCUGUAUCUCAGGUUAAACAUUCUGGACCCCAAUUCCCAUUGUCCAGGAAAAAAAAAAAGCAGCUAAACAGGAGAUUGGGGAGACUUUGUACGCCACCCUAGGACAUGUUUUUGAUGUCUCUGAAAUGAGACUUUUCCUUUUGUAUUUUGCUCCUUUCUCCUUGUACGGGAGGCGGGGGGAACAUCUGCUAGACUUGGUGCUUUGCCUGCAUAAAUUCCAGCUAAAUCAAGAUUUCCCCAUACUUACAGUUUUGCAUUUUGUCCUUAUAAAAUGUAAAAAUAUAAAUGCCUUGGCCAUCAGCAAUUGGAAGCCAUCCUUCCUCUGGUCUGUACAGGAGGACUUGGAGAAGUGAGCCCACCUGCUGCCCUUCCCCCCACCAGUGGAGAGCAGAUCAGCAGAAUUCGAUCAUGUCUUCCCAGAUCACUUGUCACUGUCGGGACCAGGCUCCUCAACCUUAGCAUCCAUGACAUUUCGGGUUGGGUGAUUCUUUGUUGAAGGAAGCUCUGCUGUGCGUUGUAGGACCAGGACUGUCUCUGCCCCAGCUGCCUGGAGGCCAGUGACACUUCCCCAUCUUCUUAGCUGUGACCACCAAAAAUCUCUCCAGACAUUGCCAGAUGUCCCCCGAGGGGCAGAGUUGCCCCCAGUUGAGAAUUACUGGUCUAGACACGGGCUCAGUUAUUCCUUUUCUUCCUCUUCCCCUGUCAUCAAGAUUAUGUGUUUUCUUGACCUUGGCAAGUAAUUUCAUAACAUAUUUCCUGCUCUAUUUCAUGGAGAAUAAAAAUAAUUCUCUGAUGAAAGUCAUAUUUUGACUUGAAUUGCAUGAGGCAGGCCUUGUUAAAACCCAACCGCAGGCUCCUCGUUGUUUUUGGAAGGCAGCAAAUUUGUUUUCCGCUUCGAUCCUGAUUUUGAUUUUUAAAUACUGACUUUUCCUACUCUACUCCGUUUCCCUGGAGGUCACUGUCAUUAUGGACGUCAAAUCGAUGUCUCAGAUAGUCUCUCUCAAUUUCAUUUUUGCAUCUGUCUCAGAAUUAUUUUUGCUACUGUGUCUGCUUCCUAAUGUUUAAUAGAUUUUUUUUUUCACCCACUAUUCCUUUAAGUCCAUUAUUCCCUUUUUCCAGUGAGUUAAGUUUAAAUUUUAUGUUCUUGGAGAAUAUUUCGUGGACUUUGAAAAUCUGCUACGUGUGUUAAAUCCAGGUGGCAAUUUAUAGAUGCCCGACUUCAGUCGACAGUCAUAUUUCCGCCAUAGAAAGAGGGAGUUGUUGAAAUUGUUUGGGAGAAGCAGAUUUUGUGAUUAGGAGAGUUACCUGUAUAUGUUGAUUAUCAAAUGUCAAACAAUUUAAUUAUGCUACAGUUUGGAUUUGGAAUGUCCCCCCCAAGGCUUGGUCUUUAGUGUGGUCCUGUUGGAAGGUGGUGGGAACUUUGAGAGGUAGGGGCUGCUGGGAAGUGGGGCCACUGGGAUUGUGCUCUUGAAGGGGAUUGUGGGGGCCCAGUUCCUCUCUCUCCCUCUCUUUUACCUCCUGGUCACCAAGAGGUGAAUGGUUUUGCUCCCCUCUGUAUUCCCUACCAAGAAUUCUGCCUCACCAUAGGCCCCAAAGUACUGGGUACAACUGACCAAGGACUGGAACCUCCAAAACUGGGACCCCAAAUAAACCCUCUAUCUUUGUAAACUGGUUAUAUCAGGUAUUUGUUAUGUUAACUCAAAACUGACUCACACAAAUUAAUGACUCAUAUAUCUAUUUUGGACUAAAUAAGUGUAUGCACACUCAGAAUUUUCCAGAUUCAUCAGAGGUUUUGCAUUUGUAUUAUUUUACUUAGAUUGUAAAACAUGGAACACAAAACUGUGAUGAUCUCCAACUACAUAAAAAUAUUUCCAGGUUGAGACCGUAACUCAGUGGUAGAGUGCUUUCCUAGCAUAUGUGAGGCCCUGGAUUCAAUCCUCAGGGCUGAAAAAAAAAUUUCAUGUACAUAAGCAAAGGUUAGCAUAUGAAAGUUAGCAUUUAAAUUAGCUAGAGAUGAUGAACAUUUUUUCAUAUGUUUGUUGAUUGAUUGUAUUUCUUCUUUUGUGAAGUGUCUAUCCAGUUCCUUAGCCCAUUUAUUGAUUGGGUUAUUUG
This is a long non-coding RNA of Sciurus carolinensis (gray squirrel), 4946 nucleotides long. RefSeq lists it as uncharacterized. The record is from RefSeq and is a predicted model, not a curated record. NCBI's taxonomy places the organism in Eukaryota, Metazoa, Chordata, Mammalia, Rodentia, Sciuridae. The transcript has 7 exons.